Long non-coding RNA from Pezoporus occidentalis (night parrot), 554 nucleotides. RefSeq lists it as uncharacterized. The record is from RefSeq and is a predicted model, not a curated record. NCBI's taxonomy places the organism in Eukaryota, Metazoa, Chordata, Aves, Psittaciformes, Psittacidae. The transcript has 3 exons.
AAAGAUAGCAAUCCACAAAGGAAUUAAAUACUGAUCCCAACAAAAGCCACCCUAUAUUAAUCUACAAAAGCAAACAGCCUACACAGCAGCAAUGGAAGCUUUUCUCGCCUGCUUUUCCCUCUCUGGACCUGGAGAAGCAGCUAUUUUAAAGACUCUUCUGGUACCACUGAGAGUGUGAACUUUCAUAGACGCUAAUGUGAUUCACUCCAAAGAAGCUCCCAGAUCUAAAAUACUAAUCUUAAGAGUCAGAUGAGAGCUUACUGCCGCAGUGGAUUCCAAAAGCAAGCCUGCAUGAGAUCAGGAGUUAGCUGAUGCUGGAGUGUCUGCCUGCACCUACAGUUGCAGCAGGGAUGUGAAGCAAAGUACAUCACACUGCAAUGAGGAAGCAUAACAGGGUUACCUGGUCAAAGAAGUUAGCUCCAGUUGGAUGUGGCAUUCAUGAUACUUCAUUUGUGAUAUGGGAGGCUCAGGACUUGUUCAUAUAACAAGAUCAAUGUCUGAGAUUCAAUUUUUUCACUCUUUUGUGGGAUCUCAGAAAAAGGUAAAACGUUAUU